Molecule: transfer RNA, 73 nt
Filed under: Sphingobium ummariense RL-3
Lineage: Bacteria; Pseudomonadati; Pseudomonadota; Alphaproteobacteria; Sphingomonadales; Sphingobiaceae
Rfam family: tRNA
About the family: Transfer RNA (tRNA) molecules are approximately 80 nucleotides in length. Their secondary structure includes four short double-helical elements and three loops (D, anti-codon, and T loops).
Source: Rfam by way of RNAcentral
GGGCGGUUAGCUCAGUUGGUAGAGCGUCUCGCUUACACCGAGAAUGUCGGCGGUUCGAGCCCGUCACCGCCCA